This 73-nucleotide transfer RNA is filed under the name Stegodyphus mimosarum. It matches the Rfam family "tRNA". Rfam says of the family: Transfer RNA (tRNA) molecules are approximately 80 nucleotides in length. Lineage: Eukaryota; Metazoa; Arthropoda; Arachnida; Araneae; Eresidae. The record is from Rfam by way of RNAcentral.
GCCUUCGUAGUGUAGUGGUCAGCACGCUCGACGCGCAACCGAGAGGUCCUUGGUUCGACUCCCGGCGAAGGCG